This 408-nucleotide unclassified non-coding RNA is filed under the name fungal sp. RNAcentral describes it as "partial internal transcribed spacer region". The stretch from base 1 to 46 matches the Rfam family "Eukaryotic small subunit ribosomal RNA", at positions 1786 to 1831 of the family's 1831-position model. Lineage: Eukaryota; Fungi. The record is from RNAcentral.
AAGUCGUAACAAGGUUUCCGUAGGUGAACCUGCGGAAGGAUCAUUUUCAAAAUGCUUUUUUUUAUGCUUUAUUGCAUAUAAUGGCAACAACUUUUACCAACAACGUGGAUGGAGUGGGGGUUGUGUGGUGUUGGCUUCAACGCUAGCAUUCAUACAUCUCUCUCCUCUGCUAGUGUGAUAUCCUGGUAUAUGCAGCCCUUUUAAUCUUACUUACUCUCGACGGAGCGCGUCUCCAGAGAGAGGCCAAUGAAAAGAACACCUCUUGUACACUUUUUGCCGUAAAACAGCACAAGUGGCCAAGUCGCAAAUAAAAACUAUUUCCUUCUGUUUAUCCCUCACGGGGUAAGUGGAAACAAAAAAAAAAUACAAUUAUUACGACAACUUUUAACGGUGGAUCUCUUGGCUCGU